Molecule: long non-coding RNA, 1724 nt
Organism: Frieseomelitta varia
Lineage: Eukaryota; Metazoa; Arthropoda; Insecta; Hymenoptera; Apidae
Exons: 3
Source: RefSeq, a predicted model, not a curated record
GUGCUAAUUAAAAUACAGUACACUAUUUGAAUCACUAACAGAAAUCAUCUGCCUAUAUCUGCAUCGGAAUAAAACAGAAUGUCUUGAAAAAGGACAAUCAGGAUUGUUCAAUUAUAAAAUAUUAUGGUUUGAGGUUAUAAGUUAAUUCAAACAUGGCACCCGAAAAUUUCCAGAAAAGAGAUCGAAAGACAAAAUUACAGAAUUGCUUUUGAGAAUAUAAUUGCACGUUUCGAACUAAGAGGUUCAAGAUAUGUUACGGAUAACAAUUUAUUUUUUCAUGUGCAUGUGAAUAUAACGGUACAUACAACAAAUUCAUUAACGUUGAAUGUAAUGUUAUAGCUCAAGUAUAAAAUAACACCAUUUGAUAAGUGAAUAAAAUAAAAAUGAUAUGAGUAUAAUGGCAUUCUAGCAGAUGACGUGAUUAUGAUGUACAAUCAUCACCAUUUUACUGAAUAUAAAUCGUACACUCAUUUGAAUAAGACCUUAUGUAAUUAGUUUGUACUUUAGCUCCAUCUAAUGCGUCCCUCUAACGAUUACUUAUGUUUCGACAAAAGUACCGACAAGUUACGUAAAAACAGAUAACAAAACUAUUAUACAUAUUAAUUGCACCAACAGUCCUAGCUAUUCACAUUGAAAUUAAUUAAUCGUUAAUCUAUCCUUGUUAAGGCGACAAUUACGAGAUCAAUUUUACAGUUCAUCAGAUUACUGAUUAACCCUAAAUAUCUAUAAAAAACCGAGAAGAAGAAAUAUUUUGGAGAUACAUUCGACGUAGGAGAUGAAAAUGAAAAGAUUAUCUAGAAUACAAGUAAAUAAGAAGAUAAGGUUAUUGUGCGUGACUCGAUACUUGACUCUUACGAGUCAUCCAAAACCAAGUUGCUCUGAUAAUUUUCACAAUAAUUUAUAAUAAGUUAUUUCUUUGUCGUAACAGUUAUGUACAUAGAUAUAAUUAUUCUUUUAAACUGCGUCGUUAUGGACCAGUGUAAGGAAAAACACAUCUGUUACAUGAAUAUAAUUGUUUGUUUCUUGAAUCGAAUUCUGUUUAUUAAACUUUGAACAAUUAAUGAUUCAUUUUGGCCUAAUUGUAGGUUAAAUGCUUGGAAUCAAACAGAGGAAAUUAAUUCAAACAAUCAAGUUUAUAUAAUCUUUUCAAUUAUUUAUUAGAGAAAAAUAUUAUUUUCAGAUUUUUUAUCAAGUAUGUAUUUUUGAAUUUUUUUUAUCAAGUAUGUAUUGAGAAAAAGGUUAUGAAAAGAUAAAGAACGAUAUCAUGUAAUUAAUUACUUGCUCUGUGCAAUUCUAAGGCAAUUACAUAAAAUCAUAAUAGAUUCCGUACACAAAAUUUCUAUAGAUUCCAUAACAAUUUUUUAUAAAAAAAUUAUAAUGAUUUGUCACAUUGAUUAUUGUUCCAAGUUGCUCGAUAAUGAAUUUGUCCACCGGAAUAAUUAGCAUUUCACGUAUUUUAUUCUACAGUUAUUCUACAAAUAAGUCAGCUAUUUUUAACUUUCGAAUGGUCCAGUUUUUAAUGAGAAAGGAAAUCGAUUAAUGAUACUUUCUGCCGUGUUUUGAAUCACCACUUUCCAUUCGUGAAUUUGUUUAGUCAAAUAAUUAUCUUCAGAUUUUUCCUUGCGUGUAAUUUCUACGCACUAUUUACAUACAUUAUAUUCUUACAUAUUUACUUUUUCUUCAUGGAAACUUGACGAAAUAAUCCAGCUACUGUUAUUUUCAAA